This 468-nucleotide ribosomal RNA is filed under the name uncultured bacterium. RNAcentral's name for it is "bacterial SSU rRNA". It matches the Rfam family "Bacterial small subunit ribosomal RNA", at positions 30 to 521 of the family's 1533-position model. The record is from RNAcentral.
AUUGAACGCUGGCGGUAUGCUUAACACAUGCAAGUCGAACGGUAACAGGCCUUCGGGCGCUGACGAGUGGCGGACGGGUGAGUAACGCGUAGGAAUCUGCCUUAUAGUGGGGGACAACGUGGGGAAACCCACGCUAAUACCGCAUACGCCCUACGGGGAAAGGAGGGAUCUUCGGACCUUUCGCCAUGAGAUGAGCCUGCGUUAGAUUAGCUAGUUGGUAGGGUAAAGGCCUACCAAGGCGACGAUCUAUAGCUGGUCUGAGAGGAUGAUCAGCCACACUGGGACUGAGACACGGCCCAGACUCCUACGGGAGGCAGCAGUGGGGAAUCUUAGACAAUGGGGGAAACCCGUGAUCUAGCCAUGCCGCGUGAUCGAUGAAGGCCUUAGGUUGUAAGAUCUUUCAGGUGGGAAGAUAAUGACUGUACCACCAGAAGAAGCCCCGGCUAACUCCGUGCCAGCAGCCGCGGU